Molecule: long non-coding RNA, 2689 nt
Filed under: Paramuricea clavata
Lineage: Eukaryota; Metazoa; Cnidaria; Anthozoa; Malacalcyonacea; Plexauridae
Source: RNAcentral
AGCAUUUGUGUUGCUUGACUGAAAUGUAGAAGUUUUGCAUACGCUAAUUAUAGAACUACAAUGUAAUUUCAUCUCGGCAAGCGGGACGAAAUACUCCAUAUGAACGCACGGAAAUAUUCGUCUCGGUAAGCGAGACGUCCCGGUAAGCGGGAUCAUAUGAACAGGCCCUAAGUUUGAUCACUGCUAUAUAUAAACAAUUCCUAUUGUGUUUUUAACAAGGUCAACCAAAUACUUGAUCAGUUUACACACCAAGAAUGAUGUAUUUACUGCAUAUAAUAUGUGAUGGAUAGAUUAUAGGUAGGUAGGUAAGAGUGCAUACAGUUAAAUAAUUAGCCAUUUCUCAUAUUUCCUUUUAUUUCCUGGUUAAGCAGGUGACUAUAAUUGUCAUGGAAGGUAUGAAGGAGGUAGCUAUGAUUUUAUCACAUGGCUAUGGGGGAUAAUUAUGACCAUUAUUAUGCUCAAAUGUAAUUAUUGUCUCAUCAGUUUUUAUCCUUUUUGUAGUGUAAACUUAAGUAUAAAAAUAAAGAUUUAUGAAUAUGUCAGACAAAUUAUAUACAAUGGGUGAUCACUUGGUAAGUAAUUUUUAUACCUUUGUUGUGGUCUGUGUAGAUGGAGGCUAUUUUGGCAAUAGCCAUGCACUUAGACAUAGCAUGACCAGUCCAUAUUUGGACUGCCUAUGUCUAUUAAACAUGAUUGAAUACCCAAAUCACAGAAUAGGAAAUUAUACCAGAAGCGUAACUCGAGCAAAUGUUUGUCCUCAUUUUUACAAGCGAUUCGUCAUCAAUCACGCCAUCCUGGCUAGUACAACCGGCACUUUGUACCUACCAAAUCCUGAUAAAAACUUCCGGCUGUACUAGCCAGGAUGGCGUGGCCUGACGUGAGCGAGUUAAAAAUUUUCGUGGACGUCAAACAAUAAGGGAAACGACUAGAGUUACGCUUCUGGUAUAACUUCUUAUUCUGUGCCCAAAUUAGAUUCAAGAUUAUAAUUAAUGAUAUGUCCCAGGCAUGGAUCCAAAAAUGACCAUGUACUGAAGUUAUAUGGCAUGAGCCAUGUAAAAUAUGGUGGGAAACAUACAAUUGGGGCUGCAUCCCACCAUAAUGCACUAGUCAAUUGAAACCCCGACCCCCGGGAUAGGGAGGGGAAAUUAACAUUUUGACAAUGUUAAAUUUUGGACAUUUCCCUGCUACCGGGAGAAUAUUGACUGUUAAAAUUACUGUCCCUAUGGCCCCAGCACUUUGAAAAUUUUCAUGACUUGGGAAAUUUUCAUGACUUGGGAAUUGUCCUGGCUAAUAAAUUGACUUGUUAUUUACCCUGUACCCCGGGGGAAAUCUGCAUUAAGACCACGGCCAUUCCCCCAUUAAUUCCCCGCCCUGUCCCAGGGGUUGGGGGUUUCAAUUGACUAGUACAUGCAUAAACAUUGCAAAGGUCCAUUUUGUAAAUUAAUGGCACUAUGUAUUUAAUCUUAAUUUAUAGGGCCUGUGAGUUCAUAUCUGGAAUAAAAUAAUGGCAAAUCUACAGAAAUAUCACUGCUAAGGAGUGUCAAACAAAUUCAGGAGGACUGAAUUAACUGGAUGUUCUCAGGAUGAAAAAGAAAUUGUUGACUUUAAUUGAAUAAUCAUUAUCAUUAAUGUAAGGUUAAAAAUAUUGAACAUUCAAAAGGAUGCAGACAGAAAAUUUAAAGUACUGGGCCUGAAUUUCAGGUUAAGUGAUCCAGGAAUGGGGUUGGCCCUCUGCAGGCUAAAUCAAUUGAGGGAGAUCCCUUUAUUUCAAGUUAAAUGAUUAUUUGAAUAAGAUGCCAUUCAGGCAAUUAAAGGGCCUGCAUGGUUAGGUCCAUAUUUUAAUUCAAAUUAUUAAGUACUCGAUUUAUCCAUCAACAAAACCCAACAUUAAAAUUUCCAUCGAGUGAGAUGCAACAAAACCAUCUAUAGUUUAUUAAUUAUGUUAACCUACUCCAUCAAUUGGCAAUGAGCCUACUUUAGUAAUAAUUUUAUAUACUCCAUCUCUAAUUUGCCCAUUAUAUUUAUAAACUGACAGUUAAUACUAUUACUCUUUCACAUACUAAUAAAAUCAUCUGGGCCCGGUUGUUCGAAGCCCGUGUAAGCCUUUGAACUACCGGCCCCAGAUGAUUUUAUUAGUAUGUGAAAGAGUAAUUAUUAACUGUCAGUUUAUAAAUAUAAUGGGCAAAUAUAUGAUUAUGUACAAAUUGCAUGCAUGGUUCAUAAAGUCUCUGUGAUAGACUUGCUCCAACAGAUUCAAAUUCCAUCCUGACAAUACCUAAAUAAUAAUUAUAGAGGUUGCAGUGUUGCACUACCUUUUGCUAAAAUACUGCCAUUGUUUACCAGUAUUUAAUAUGAACUCAAAAGUCAAAACACUUAACACUAUGAAGUAUUUAGAUUUAUAAAUAGUACUUAGUAUUUUAUAAACCUUAAUUGCAUAUAAAAUAGUUUAUAAUUAUCUUACCUUUGUACUUUUACUGUAAUUAUCUCUUUAGUUUGUAUUUGUUCACUAAUCUGUAUUUUCUUGUUUCAAAAUAAACUGAAUUUCAUAUCAAGAAGCGAAGUUUGUCUGUCUGUGUGCUUAUUUAAAGGCACAGUUCAGCCUUCUGAGUGAUGGUUUCUAUGGCGCAUUACAAGACUUUUAAUUGAAAAAACUAACUAGGAAAAUCAAUUAAGCAUAAUUCAAAAUCAG